Molecule: ribosomal RNA, 470 nt
Filed under: uncultured bacterium
Lineage: Bacteria
Description: bacterial SSU rRNA
Rfam family: Bacterial small subunit ribosomal RNA
Source: RNAcentral
AAUGAACGUUGGCGGCGUGGAUUAGGCAUGCAAGUCGUGCGAGAAGCCUCCUUCGGGGGGUGGACAGCGGCGAAAGGGAGAGUAACGCGUGGGUCACCUGCCCCUGGGACUGGGAUAGCGGCGGGAAACUGCCGGUAAUACCGGAUAACGUCUCCGGACCAAAUGGUGAGAUUCCGCCUGGGGAUGGGCCCGCGUCCUAUUAGCUUGUUGGUGGGGUAAUGGCCUACCAAGGCGAAGAUGGGUACCGGGUGUGAGAGCAUGACCCGGCUCACUGGGACUGAGACACUGCCCAGACACCUACGGGUGGCUGCAGUCGAGGAUCUUCGGCAAUGGGCGCAAGCCUGACCGAGCGACGCCGCGUGCGGGAUGAAGGCCUUCGGGUUGUAAACCGCUGUCAGCGGGGAGCAAAUGCAUGGGGGUUCUCCCUCAUGCUUGAGCGAUCUGCAGAGGAAGUCCGGGCUAAGUUCGUG